GGGAAUGUAGCUUAGUGCUAGAGUGUUUGCCUAGCAUGCAUGAAGCCCUGGGUUCAAUUCCCCAGUACCA
Non-coding RNA from Dipodomys ordii (Ord's kangaroo rat), 70 nucleotides. The record is from Rfam. Lineage: Eukaryota; Metazoa; Chordata; Mammalia; Rodentia; Heteromyidae.